AUGCCUUUGUUCCAAUUGUUCUCAGUCUCCACUCACCAGCAUGUAAGCUGUAUGAGGGCAAAGAUGUUCAUGAAGCCAUUCCCUAGAAUGGUAUGGGGCACAGAGGAGGGGCUCAAGAAUAUUGGUGGGAUGGAUGACUUUGCCUUGGCCGGGGAAGACGUGCAACAGGAGGCUUUGAACUACCUAGCCUCUGGCUCUCCUUCAGAUUACGCAGUCACAGAGCCCCAGGGCAUGCUGGGAGGGCAAGAGCUGAAACCCAUCCCCUCUGCUCCACUCCAGGAUCUUCUGCUUGAGUGGCUCGGCUUGACUCAGGAGGACUCCUCUAUAUCUGAGUGCAGACAGGACGGCUAUUUAUGUUUGCACCUGUUCAUCACCAGCACUAUAUUGCGCUGUAUGGGUAUAUGGGUCUGAGUUUGCAUAGACACAGGAAGUGUAUCAGAUUGGCUAUGUGGGGAUCCCAUCCUCUAGGGAAAACACUUAUGGCUUCUUUCUCUGUUUGCCUGGUCUAUGGGUGGUAGCAGGGCCUGCAAACACCUCAGACUAGGCAAACCUUGCAUGGUCUUCAAAGGGAGUCAGAGUGGAUCGCUCGCAUAGCUUACAUUCUAAAGAUGUUUGCUUUAUCUUUCCUGAAAGUUGUUCACUUUAACUUUCACCUUAUCCUACUUAACCAACAUUACUUGGAAUUGAUAGUUUCAUAUUCCAGGUUAUAGAGACCACUUAUUUUUCAG
This 728-nucleotide long non-coding RNA is filed under the name Capra hircus (goat). RNAcentral describes it as "lncRNA (ENSCHIG00010004504.1)". The record is from RNAcentral. Lineage: Eukaryota; Metazoa; Chordata; Mammalia; Artiodactyla; Bovidae.